UGUUGUUCUCUUUGUGUGUGAUUCUGCCAUAAGAUUUUAACAAAAAGAAUUUUUAGUUGUGGAGUACUCUGUUCUUUCAGUUCACAAUACCCACUUGUCCUCCUCGUAAUACAGAUCCUCCUGCAGUGAAAGGGGCUCGUGGACUAAGACGUGAGAGAGGUCCGACUUGUACUUGUGCAGCAUGGACACAUGAAAUACAUUAUGGACCCUGGAUAGUUCUGGAGGCAAUGCUAGUCUGUAGGCGGUGGUGCCAAUUCUAUCUAAGAUUUUAGAUGGCUCAAUAAAUCGGGAAUUUAGUUUUUCCCUCU
Molecule: long non-coding RNA, 308 nt
Filed under: Carica papaya (papaya)
Lineage: Eukaryota; Viridiplantae; Streptophyta; Magnoliopsida; Brassicales; Caricaceae
Description: long non-coding RNA (CPAP_LNC014791)
Source: RNAcentral